UGCCAGCCGCCGCGGUAAUACGGAGGGGGCUAGCGUUGUUCGGAAUUAUUGGGCGUAAAGGGCACGUAGGCGGCUAGGCAAGUUGGUGGUGAAAGCCCUCGGCUCAACCGAGGAAUUGCCCCCAAUACUGCCUGGCUUGAGUCCCGGAGAGGUUAGUGGAAUUCCCAGUGUAGAGGUGAAAUUCGUAGAUAUUGGGAAGAACACCAGUGGCGAAGGCGGCUAACUGGCUCGGUACUGACGCUGAGAUGCGAAAGCGUGGGGAGCAAACAGGAUUAGAUA
RNAcentral lists this ribosomal RNA (279 nucleotides) under uncultured bacterium. RNAcentral's name for it is "partial 16S ribosomal RNA". It matches the Rfam family "Bacterial small subunit ribosomal RNA", at positions 506 to 784 of the family's 1533-position model. The record is from RNAcentral.